GGAGCACGAAGGUUAGCUAAUCCUGGUCGGACAUCAGGAGGUUAGUGCAAUGGCAUAAGCUAGCUUGACUGCGAGCGUGACGGCGCGAGCAGGUGCGAAAGCAGGUCAUAGUGAUCCGGUGGUUCUGAAUGGAAGGGCCAUCGCUCAACGGAUAAAAGGUACUCCGGGGAUAACAGGCUGAUACCGCCCAAGAGUUCAUAUCGACGGCGGUGUUUGGCACCUCGAUGUCGGCUCAUCACAUCCUGGGGCUGAAGUAGGUCCCAAGGGUAUGGCUGUUCGCCAUUUAAAGUGGUACGCGAGCUGGGUUUAGAACGUCGUGAGACAGUUCGGUCCCUAUCUGCCGUGGGCGCUGGAGAAUUGAGGGGGGCUGCUCCUAGUACGAGAGGACCGGAGUGGACGCAUCACUGGUGUUCGGGUUGUCAUGCCAAUGGCACUGCCCGGUAGCUAAAUGCGGAAG
This 457-nucleotide ribosomal RNA is filed under the name Klebsiella pneumoniae. Its description in RNAcentral is "partial 23S ribosomal RNA". It matches the Rfam family "Bacterial large subunit ribosomal RNA", at positions 2305 to 2761 of the family's 2925-position model. The record is from RNAcentral. Lineage: Bacteria; Pseudomonadati; Pseudomonadota; Gammaproteobacteria; Enterobacterales; Enterobacteriaceae.